UCUCACACUUUUUUCUAUUUUUCCAUAUUUUUCUCUCACAUUUUAUUCUAAAGCAUAGAAUCAUCUCUCUACUUUUUACUCACUCAUUUCAUCAUUUUUCUUAUCUUCCACCAUUUUUUUAUCUUCUUGGUUCGUAUUCUUUUUCCAUUUCAUUUCACCAUUGAUGUCUCUUAUUGUUGGUUCACCCUUGCAGCAUUAUUUUAGGUUAGUUUUCUAUAUAUUUGUGUAUCUAAUAUUUUGUUUGUAGAAUUUUCUACUAAAAGUAAUCAUUAUUUUAACAAAGAGCAUAUGAAUUGUCUUUACCAGGUUGUAAUAUGAUUGUUGAAAAUGGCAUAUGGAUUGUCUAUACCAGGUUGUAAUAUAAUUUUUUAUCUUCUUGGUUCGUAUUCUUCUUCCAUUACAUUUCAUUUCACCCUUGAUGUCUCUUAUUGUUGGUUCACCCUUGAAGCAUUGUUGUAGGUUAGUUUUCUAUAUAUUUGUGUAUCUAAUAUUUUGUUUAUAGAAUUUUCUACUAAAAGUAAUCAUUAUUUUAACAAAGAGCAUGUGAAUUGUCUUUACCAGGUUGUAAUAUAAUUGUUGAAAAUAGCAUCGACAAUGAUAGAUGAUAGAGAGGAAGAAAAAAGA
Molecule: long non-coding RNA, 624 nt
Filed under: Lupinus angustifolius (narrow-leaved blue lupine)
Lineage: Eukaryota; Viridiplantae; Streptophyta; Magnoliopsida; Fabales; Fabaceae
Description: long non-coding RNA (LANG_LNC001724)
Source: RNAcentral